Molecule: non-coding RNA, 122 nt
Organism: Erythranthe guttata (spotted monkey flower)
Lineage: Eukaryota; Viridiplantae; Streptophyta; Magnoliopsida; Lamiales; Phrymaceae
Source: Rfam
CAGCUGCGCAGUAAGCACAUAGCGAACUAUUCUUUCGCCUUUUACUAAAGAAUACCGUGUGCUUGCUGCACUUCAAGCAGCAUACGCCUCUUUUUUGAGGGUUUUUUUUCCUUUUGGAAAUA